AGGGAUCAUUACCGAGUUUACAACUCCCAAACCCCUGUGAACAUACCACUUGUUGCCUCGGCGGAUCAGCCCGCUCCCGGUAAAACGGGACGGCCCGCCAGAGGACCCCUAAACUCUGUUUCUAUAUGUAACUUCUGAGUAAAACCAUAAAUAAAUCAAAACUUUCAACAACGGAUCUCUUGGUUCUGGCRUCGAUGAAGAACGCAGCAAAAUGCGAUAAGUAAUGUGAAUUGCAGAAUUCAGUGAAUCAUCGAAUCUUUGAACGCACAUUGCGCCCGCCAGUAUUCUGGCGGGCAUGCCUGUUCGAGCGUCAUUUCAACCCUCAAGCACAGCUUGGUGUUGGGACUCGCGUUAAUUCGCGUUCCCCAAAUUGAUUGGCGGUCACGUCGAGCUUCCAUAGCGUAGUAGUAAAACCCUCGUUACUGGUAAUCGUCGCGGCCACGCCGUUAAACCCCAACUUCUGAAUGUUGACCUCGGAUCAGGUAGG
This 487-nucleotide ribosomal RNA is filed under the name Fusarium sp. FSU6261. Its description in RNAcentral is "eukaryotic LSU rRNA". The stretch from base 160 to 313 matches the Rfam family "5.8S ribosomal RNA". Lineage: Eukaryota; Fungi; Ascomycota; Sordariomycetes; Hypocreales; Nectriaceae. The record is from RNAcentral.